CCUACGGGUGGCAGCAGUGAGGAAUAUUGGUCAAUGGCCGCAAGUCUGAACCAGCCAAGCCGCGUGAAGGACGAAGGUUCCAAGCAUUGUAAACUUCUUUUGUCAAGGGACAAAAUCAGACACGAGAGCCUGACCGAGGGUACUUUACGAAAAAGCAUCGGCUAACUCCGUGCCAGCAGCCGCGGUAAUACGGAGGAUGCGAGCGUUAUCCGGAUUUAUUGGGUUUAAAGGGUGCGUAGGCGGUCGGUUAAGUCAGCGGUAAAAUCCCGGGGCUCAACCCCGGCGAGCCGUUGAAACUGGCUGUCUAGAGAUGUCGAGAGGUAUGCGGAAUGCGCAGUGUAGCGGUGAAAUGCUUAGAUAU
Molecule: ribosomal RNA, 361 nt
Filed under: uncultured bacterium
Lineage: Bacteria
Description: partial 16S ribosomal RNA
Rfam family: Bacterial small subunit ribosomal RNA
Source: RNAcentral